CUUUAUGAUCUGUGCAAUACAGACUCACCUUGUUCUCUGACCUGUAAGUGUUUCAGGGAAUCCCAUGGACACCACGAACACGAAUCUUAUUAUGGAGAUCGUGAUACAGAAACCCUGGUUAAGAUGAUGGAAGAAUUGGCCACUUCUAUUCUGCAGGAGAACGAUCAGAACCGCUGACGGGAGGAUGCAGAAUUGAAGGAUACGUGCGUGCAAAGAAGGUUCCUGGCAACCUUAUCAUCUCUGCUCGUUCAGGAGCCAAUUCUUUUGAUGCUACUGGAAUGAACAUGUCUCAUGUCAUACACCAUCUUUCUUUCAGUAAAACAGUUUCACCUCUGGUAUUAAGUGAUGUCAAGCGACUCAUACAUUUUCUUGGUAGAAGCCAUGACAAGUUGAAUGAUUCAUUAAU
Long non-coding RNA from Hibiscus syriacus, 406 nucleotides. RefSeq lists it as uncharacterized. The record is from RefSeq and is a predicted model, not a curated record. The transcript has 3 exons. NCBI's taxonomy places the organism in Eukaryota, Viridiplantae, Streptophyta, Magnoliopsida, Malvales, Malvaceae.